Amphimedon queenslandica is the source of this 260-nucleotide long non-coding RNA. RefSeq lists it as uncharacterized. NCBI's taxonomy places the organism in Eukaryota, Metazoa, Porifera, Demospongiae, Haplosclerida, Niphatidae. The record is from RefSeq and is a predicted model, not a curated record. The transcript is spliced from 2 exons.
GAACAUAUAUUCAGCCCCUUGAUUGCUAUAGCAGCACAUUAUCCCACCCUCAUAUUCCAAGCACUGUCUCUAGCUAAAAAGCUUGUUGAAGAACAUGAAAGUAAAAGAUUUCUUCAAGAUGAUUUAUUGCCGAGAAAUUAGAAGAGGUUGUCACUGUGUCAGGAAAUCAACUUAAAAAGACAAUCCUUUUGAUGCAACUGCAUGUACUGUGUGCAUGAUAAGUUUAUUUUCAAGUAGCUAGAAAUAGCAAUUUUACUCAC